RNAcentral lists this small RNA (4071 nucleotides) under Pan troglodytes (chimpanzee). RNAcentral's name for it is "retained intron". The record is from RNAcentral. Lineage: Eukaryota; Metazoa; Chordata; Mammalia; Primates; Hominidae.
AGGAGAAAGGGAGUGGAGGCGCGUCGGAGACUAUGAAGCGCGGCGUUCGGCGGGAUCCUUUCCGGAAGCGGAAGCUCGGCGGGCGGGCCAAGAAGGUCCGGGAGCCCACGGCGGUUAAUUCUUUUUACCGUGAGGCUUCACUUCCCUUGGUCUGGGCUUCUCUGAGGCGGCGAGAGAUGGUCAGGUCUGGAGCUCGACCGGGCCAGGUGUUAUCUUCAGGAAGGCACACUGGACCUGCUAAAUUAACAAAUGGAAAGAAAGCGUAAGUACUUGAAGACGUUUACAACUUCAGAUUUCAAGGAAUUUUUCAGGUCUUUGGGCUGGAUGACAUGUCGUCUACCCCAGAAAAUUAGGUAGGCCUCUACCAUCACAAGCUCUGAGGAACAAUUUUUCAUGUCUACCCAUGUUAAUCAUUUUAGUAUUUAACAGUCUUUCUGAUCUUCAGAAUGUGUUUAUAAAUUCAUCUUGUACAUGGUUGGACAAGCUUUCUUGUCUUUGCUGGAAAGAAAAUGACCACUUACUAAUAUAUUUUGGGAAAAAUAUUUGUAAGAAUAUUAAUGAGCUUGUUUUCCAGGACCUAUUUAAGAAAAAUACCACGUUUUAAUGCAGAUUCUGGCUAUUCCAUCCAUUCUGAUUCAGAAAGUCAGGUAAGAUUGAAUAGAUACAAUACACACUAUUUUAAUUAGUUUUCAAAUGGUAGCUAAAAAGUAGGAAUAAAAUGCAAAGUAUUAAUUGCUCUAAGGAAGUAUGAAGUCUGUUGCUUUAAAACAUCUUUUCUACCAAUAAUAGUUUGUAAAUAAACAAAUUUUAAAACUACAUAAUUUAUAUUUUUUCCUACACUAACAGUUAUAUACAAAUGUAUUCUAAAUGACUUUAUUUCUUACAGGCUGAAACUGUACACGGGCUUGAUGGUUGUGCUUCUUUGCUGAGGGACAUUUUGAGAAAUGAAGAUUCAGGUUUAUUUUUUUUAAUUCUUUGCUGAUCACCUUAUCUCAAGUCAUUAUUUUGAUGUUAACAAAUUUUUGUUUUAUUAAUAGGUUCAGAAACAGCAUAUUUAGAAAACAGAUCUAAUUCUAGACCUUUAGAAAGCAAAAGAUAUGGAUCAAAAAAGAAAAGACAUGAAAAACAUACUAUUCCUUUGGUAGUCCAGAAAGAAACAUCAUCUUCAGAUAAUAAGAAACAGAUACCUAAUGAAGCUUCUGCUAGAAGUGAAAGAGACACAUCAGACCUAGAACAAAACUGGUCAUUGCAAGAUCAUUAUAGAAUGUAUUCACCCAUAAUAUACCAAGCCCUCUGUGAGCACGUGCAGACUCAGAUGUCACUGAUGAAUGACUUGACUUCAAAGAACAUCCCUAAUGGAAUUCCUGCUGUACCAUGCCAUGCUCCCUCUCAUUCUGAAUCUCAGGCAACUCCUCAUUCUAGUUAUGGCUUAUGUACCUCCACUCCAGUCUGGUCACUUCAGCGGCCACCCUGCCCUCCAAAGGUUCAUUCUGAAGUUCAAACUGACGGCGACAGUCAGUUUGCAUCACAAGGUAAAACAGUUUCUGCAACCUGUACUGAUGUUCUAAGGAAUUCAUUUAAUACCAGUCCUGGAGUUCCAUGUAGCCUGCCCAAAACUGACAUAUCAGCUAUUCCAACAUUGCAGCAACUGGGCCUUGUUAAUGGAAUUCUGCCACAACAAGGAAUUCAUAAGGAAACAGACCUACUAAAAUGUAUUCAAACAUAUUUGUCUCUUUUUCAAUCUCAUGGAAAAGAAACGCAUCUGGACAGUCAGACACACCGAAGCCCUACUCAGUCACAGCCAGCUUUCUUGGCCACUAAUGAAGAAAAAUGUGCCAGAGAGCAAAUUAGAGAGGCCACAAGUGAAAGAAAGGAUUUAAACAUACAUGUGCGAGAUAUAAAAACAGUGAAGGAUGUACAGAAGGCAAAAAAUGUGAACAAGACAACUGAAAAAGUUAGAAUUAUAAAAUAUUUGUUGGGAGAGCUCAAGGCCCUGGUGGCAGAACAAGAGGAUUCAGAAAUUCAGAGGUUGAUUACAGAAAUGGAGGCAUGUAUAUCUGUACUUCCAACAGUAAGUGGAAACACAGAUAUUCAAGUUGAGAUAGCACUGGCCAUGCAACCAUUAAGAAGUGAGAAUGCUCAGUUACGAAGGCAGUUGAGAAUUUUAAACCAGCAACUCAGAGAACAACAGAAAACUCAAAAACCAUCUGGUGCUGUGGAUUGCAACCUUGAAUUGUUUUCUCUUCAGUCAUUGAAUAUGUCACUGCAAAAUCAAUUGGAGGAGUCGCUAAAGAGCCAGGAAUUACUGCAGAGUAAAAAUGAAGAGCUGUUAAAAGUGAUUGAAAAUCAGAAAGAUGAAAACAAAAAAUUUAGUAGUAUAUUUAAAGACAAAGAUCAAACUAUACUUGAAAAUAAACAGCAAUAUGAUAUUGAGAUAACAAGAAUAAAAAUUGGUACGUAUUUAGACAGUAGUUAUGGUCACAUCUUUUAAAAGGAAUAAGGAAACUGAAACUUUUGCUGUUUUAGAAUUGGAGGAAGCCCUAGUCAAUGUGAAAAGCUCCCAGUUUAAGUUAGAAACUGCUGAAAAGGAAAACCAGAUAUUGGGGAUAACAUUACGUCAGCGUGAUGCUGAGGUGACUCGACUAAGAGAAUUAACCAGAAAGCAGAAGAUGCACCUGAAAAACUUUCCAGAGCAUCUGAUAUGAAGGACACACAGCUCCUCAAGAAAAUAAAGGAAGCAAUUGGUAAGAUCCCUGCUGCCACCAAGGAGCCAGAGGAACAAACUGCAUGUCAUGGCCCAUCAGGUUGUCUUAGCAACAGCCUUCAAGUGAAAGGCAAUACUGUCUGUGAUGGUAGUGUUUUCACUUCUGACUUGAUGUCUGACUGGAGCAUCUCUUCGUUUUCAACGUUCACUUCUCGUGAUGAACAAGACUUCAGAAAUGGCCUUGCGGCAUUAGAUGCCAACAUAGCUAGACUCCAGAAGUCUUUAAGGACUGGUCUUCCGGAGAAAUGAAUUCAGAAGAAAACUCAUCAGGUGCUUCUUUUUAAAACUAGAACUUGGCUAUAUUGAAUGUGUAUUUUUCUUUAGUGAAAUGAUGUUUUAUGUUAUUAUGUUUGAAGUAAUACAUUGUACAAGUAAUAAAUGUAUUGUUAAGAUAUAUUGACACUGAGGAGCUUAUAAAAACAAGUCAUCUUAAGUUCACAAUUGCUACAAGAAGAAAGUUGUAGAUAACUAGGAAAUUAUUGUAAGUAAUGUUUUAUUUCAGUACUUAGCAAUUAGAGUUCUUUUAUUAAGAUGUAUCUGCUGGAUUAAGGGUACAGGUUGAAAUAGUUCUGUGGUUGUCCUAAGAAAUAAUGGGAAAAGAAGCUCUGGAUGUAAGUUUUUCUGUUGAAACUAGAGGGGUUUUUUUUUUUUCUGUUUCCAUAUACUUUUUUUUAAUAGCAAUGUGUUUUUAUUAAACAUGCUGUGUGCCACAGGCCAGUGUUGUUGGUGAAAUAUAUAAACAUUUAUUUAAAGAGAAAAGUUACCAGUAUCUACACCUCUUAAAAAACAUUGAUUGGUCUAAAAAAUAUAUAGAUAACAUCCAAAAUUAACAUAUGGCUUCUUAAAACUUGGUCACUUUUAUUUGUUUUUAUCCCAAAUUCAUGUUUUAAGGCCUUUAAAGAAUAGUCAGACUGAUAAAGAAGUGCUAACAGAUAAGCUAUAGUUGGGGAAAUUUGUGAGUUUUUUAAAAAUAAGAAAUGUUUAUUUUUGUCCUUAUAUUUAAACAUGAUGGAAUUUGUAAAUCUUGGCAUUGAUUGUAAUUCUGCCUUUUUGGAAGAGUUUUUUUUUCCAGCAUGUUAGCUGAGAAUAUUCUCUAUUUUACAAAUAAUAUGAAGUAGGUUGGUCUCUCUGCUUCUCUAUACCAGGACUUCUUAGCUCAAUAUCAUCUCCCUUCAUGUAAGCAGCACGUUUUAACUCUUAGGAAGCUGAAUGUUGUGUUAUCACUAAUACUUUGUACAGGUCACCUGCCUACUCUAAUUGUCUUUAGUACUUGGACAGGCUUUAUCAUUAAAGUAGUGUUCUCCUAA